Molecule: ribosomal RNA, 253 nt
Filed under: uncultured bacterium
Lineage: Bacteria
Description: partial 16S ribosomal RNA
Rfam family: Bacterial small subunit ribosomal RNA
Source: RNAcentral
UACGAAGGGUGCAAGCGUUAAUCGGAAUUACUGGGCGUAAAGCGCGCGUAGGUGGUUCAGUAAGUUGGAAGUGAAAUCCCCGGGCUCAACCUGGGAACUGCUUUCAAAACUGCCGAGCUAGAGUACGGUAGAGGGUGGUGGAAUUUCCUGUGUAGCGGUGAAAUGCGUAGAUAUAGGAAGGAACACCAGUGGCGAAGGCGACCACCUGGACUGAUACUGACACUGAGGCUCGAAAGCGUGGGGAGCAAACAGG